RNA transcript from Triticum aestivum (bread wheat), 2141 nucleotides. RefSeq lists it as uncharacterized. The record is from RefSeq and is a predicted model, not a curated record. NCBI's taxonomy places the organism in Eukaryota, Viridiplantae, Streptophyta, Magnoliopsida, Poales, Poaceae. The transcript is spliced from 2 exons.
UAGGAGCCGUGACCACCGAGCCUCCGCUCUCUCUCUCUCUUGGCCCUCGCUCACUUAUACUAUAUCUCUAGGGAAACCUAGCUAAGACGCUCCCUCCUCUCCUCUCGCAAUAACAAGACGGAGGAGAGCAAAGCUCUUCUUCCCAAGUAAGUAAGAUAGUGAUCAGGGAGGGAGGGAGGGCAUGCCAUGUGCUUGGCCUUCCAAGUUAAAGGAGCUAGCUCUUUAGACCAGGUAAGGUUUGUUCAUGGCGUCGUGGUUCGAUCGUGCCAACUUGAUAACUCGGUUUGUUCGCGAGACCGUUCCUUUUAGACUUUGGCCAUGGUUUUUUGUUUGUUUGUUUUGUUUAGAUUAGAUCGAGAUGACCCGUACAAACCAACCUCAUGAUUUUUAGAUUAAGCUUUUGAUGUUGCCCAACUUGAUGCAAUUUUUUUUUUGUCGAUUCUAAUUUGCUACAACUAGCUAGUCGCUUCUGCCAUGCAUGCUUCUAUCGGAUGGGUCGAUCGAAGGAGGGUUUUGAGUCCCACUCCCACUUCUUCUUCAUCUUAAUGUUCUUGUAAUCACGCCGAUGCCGAAACCACAUACGCUAUAAAUGAGUUACCUUUGAUUUCAUGCAAUGCACUGAAUUACCUUUGAUCAAUUUAGAGAUUUGUUUGUUUGAUUAAUGAAAAUAUGUAUGUAUGUAUGUUUCCACUGGCUGGGUUGGGCUGGGCUGUUUGGGAACUGGGAUUUUUAAAUGGUGGCCAAUAGUAACUAAAAUUCAUACAAGGUUAAUUACCACACGGACACAGUCAAAGAAGAUAGUAAGUAUAUAUGAAGAAGAAGAGCACAUGUGCAUCGUGGAGGACACAAUCAGAAAGUAAGUUUCUUUGUCACAAUCAUUCACUCCUCAUAUUCUAUAAAGAGCACGCCCACACAGUACCACUCCCAAACACACAGCUAGCAUACAACUCUCUCACACUCAACACACAAUGACUCGCAGCAAGAUGCCUGCACGUAAGGUGAUGGGGGUGCUGCUCUUUCUUGCUCUCCUGUGGAGCAGCCACCUGGUGAUGGUAGCCGAGGCUGCCGAGGAUAUCCUUCCGUCAGACGAGCUGAGCCUUGAGGUUCUUGCACUGCUCGAGGACAUCAUGAAGUCCAACCUGUGCCCGGCAGCAUGCGUGACCUGCUUGUGCAGGUCGGGAAGAGCUGCCCUCUCAUCUUGAUGAUGUUUGCUCCAUGCGUCCUUGGUGAAUAAGACCAAAUUACGUCUCAUCUAAAUGAGUUCUAGGUACUCCCUACAAAUAUCAAGAUUAAACCUAACAACAUUGACCGGAGCACUGCCGCCCGAGAUCCGCCGCGGGCAGGCCCCAGGCCGCCGCCUGGUCGCUCGCCGUGCCUGCAGGUCACGCCGCAGGGAGGCCCCAAGCCACCGUCCGGUCGCCAUUGACCCAUUUGUGCUCGUCGGCGUCCGCGGCGCCGUUAGGGCGCUCCAUGCGGGGAGCGGCGAGGAGCAGAGGCUGCGGAUUCCACCCUCCACCGAGCAGGUGACUCCUCGAGGCGUGGCGGGAGGCGGGGCAGCUCCGGUGGCGAAGGGCGCGGGGCGGGCGGCUCCAGCGGCGACCCGUAGUCUGGCGGCUCCAGCGGCGACCCGUGGCUCCAGCGGCGAAGGGCAGCGGUGGCGGCUCCAGCGGCGACCCGUGGCUCCAGCGGCGAAGGGCAGCGGUGGCGGCUCCAGCGACGACCCGCGGCUGCCGCGGCGAGCGGCUCCAGGGGCGAAGGGCGGCAGGCGACACCCGCGGCCAAGGGCGGCGGCUCCAGCGGCGAGAGGUUUCCGCGGCUGCACCUGCGGCGAAGUGCGGCUCCGGCUGCACCUGUUGGCCACGCUGGCACCUGAACUAUGGGCCCGGCCUGGCAGAAACGUGAUUAACCGCAGUGAAGCGGGCGGUUCCACGACUUGGUAGUUUUUUGCCACUGAUUAGGUAAAAAGUGGUAGUUUUCCACACAAAAUCGUAAAGUGGUAGUUUCUGGCCACGUUUCCAUGAAAUGUGGUAGUUUUUGGUUAAAUACUCCAUCCUUGAGGAAGAUUAUCCAGAUUCGCAAUCUGUAGCAACAUAUUUGACACGUUGGAGUUUCGGUAAACAGUUGAGUUGGAUGGCUUCAAA